CUCCAGCCAUCCAACCCCAGCAGCGACCACCACCUUCCACAACCAACGGACAGCAGCUCACCGAAUAUAGAAGCAUCCCCUUCAUUGAAAAUCUCAGUCCUACAAUCGCCAACAUCCUAAAAGCCGAUUUUCCACAGGUACGAAUUGCCUACAAAACAUUAAAAAACACAAAUAACAUCCUACGAUCAGUUAAAGACCCCCUCCCUAUACUCGACCAAUGCAACGUUAUUUACAGUCUAGAAUGCACAGACUGUAAACAAACAUACAUUGGAAUGACCACAAACCAGUUAAAAACUAGAAUGUCUGGACACAAGAGCAAUGUUAACCAAUACACCAAAUUAAUCCAAAGCAAUGACACACACAAAUGAAGAAAUCCUAAGACUAGGCGAAAAAACGACAUUAAUGAAACAUGUCAUUGAAAACAACCAUAUGUUCAAUGUUGCAAACCCAAAAAUUCUCGAUAGGGCCAAUAGAAAAUCAACACUACCAACACUAGAGAUGUGUCACAUCAUCCAUACACCUAACACAGUCAACCACCGCACAGACAUACAAGGUCUAAGUACAACGUACGCAGGACUAUUCCACACAAUUAAACAGUCCACCACACGUAGACAAACCCCAGCCAUAUCAACAAUGGAACCAAUUCCACCCCUCCUAAAUGAAACUGAUGAACGUGAUCCACAAUCACCACAAAAUUCACCAACCAUUUUGAAACGAUCGUUACCAGUGCUGUGAAGUCCAAUCAAAACUAUAUAUAUUAAAAAAACCUUCAAAAAACAGUAAGUUAGGUAAAAUUGUGCAUCAAAUCGAAAAUAAUAACCAUAUUAUAACAGACAGGUAAUGAAAAGGCAGGCCAAACACAAAUGGUUAGGCAACUAUAUACACGGGAGACGAUAGACACUACGACCCUUGAGAAAGGCCAAAACCCUUCGGCCGAAACGU
Molecule: long non-coding RNA, 942 nt
Organism: Aedes albopictus (Asian tiger mosquito)
Lineage: Eukaryota; Metazoa; Arthropoda; Insecta; Diptera; Culicidae
Exons: 2
Source: RefSeq, a predicted model, not a curated record